UGUGAUAUUUAAACUGAUAGUGUGAGAGCAAAAAAAAAAAGAUCUAAGCUUUUUUUUGUGUGUGUGCUCAUCAUGAGCUUCUGGCCAAGAGGAACAAUAGCUUUUGAUGUUUCAGUGUCCUGCUGUGCAGGUCAGGCUUUAGAUCAGUGCAGCUGAGACUAAGUUUAGGCUGAAUCGUAUGGUUUAAAAAAUAUGUGUUUUUCUUUUUUAGUAUCCAACCCUCUUGAUCCCUUUCUUUGAUCUAACUCAGUGGUCCUCAACACUUUUAGACUCAAGGCUCCCCUUGGAAAACUCCAGCUUUUAGUUUUCACUUGUUUUUUGGCUACAGAAAAAUAAUGAGUUCGCAGAAUGUUUUUAACACUAUGGAUUUCUAUUUGGCACCUCUGGGUUUAUCUUGUGAACCACGUUUGCACACCUAACAGUGCCAAUAUUGCCUGAAAGGAUCUCAAUGCAGCCCAGAGUGCUGCGACCCUCUGGUUGAGAAUCACCUGUGUACAUGGCUAGAAGGAUUCAGGCAUCCUUCACUUAUUUUCAAAACAGGAACAAACAUGAGCCUAAGUGGUUCCUUUGGAACCUGGACAUAGGCAGUGGUCUUUGCUUUCCCAGUGAAUUCAGCCUAUGUGCCCUCCCACCUUUCCAUUCCAGCUACCAACUGGAUGUUGUUUAAGGACAUUUAAAAAAAUCUUCAGUUAAAUGAGUUUCCCAUUACCUGCCACUAUUCAUUAUACUUGGAGUAAAAUCACUCCACCAAGACAUUAAAAAUGAGUCACAGCAGCCACCCAGCUGGGAAUGUUGCCAUUAGGCAGUCAUGCUUUGAAGCCAAUGCCUCUGCAAGGAUAGAAUAGCCCCUACUGAUGUGCAAACUGUGCUGCAGCUUCUGUGUGCAGAAAUCACUGGCAGAAUUGUGCCAUUUGUAGCUUGCUAAGCAGCAGCAGCACCUUUGAAGCAACCACAAUUAGGAAUUUUGUUUUAAAACUGAACAGCUUGAGGAAGAGAGAAGACUGCGUCUCCGGAUUUGGAUUUGGAUCAGGUUUUUAACCAUUGUGGAAGACCCUGCGGGGUCUUCAGGUUUUACAGAAAACUUGACUGGGCAAAUGAAAGCAGCCUUCAAACCCUGCGCCUGCAUGUGGGCUGUGUUUUUUGCCUGUUUCUAAGGGUAAUUGAGAACAGAGCAAAAGAGAACAGAAUCUGUGUGGAGUCAACUGCACACAUGAAACAGAGCCAGUUUUUACACUGGCUGUUUUCUAUCUUUCCCAUGAAAAACAGCAUGGGGAUGGAAGGGGAGGGCACAAACACAUUUCCCAAUUGUUUUUCCUAUGGGCACGUUUGUAGCAUAGAGGGAGGCUUUGUAACUUCAUCUUUUAAUUUACUGCAUCUCUGUGGUAGAGAAGUGCCUUCAAAAAUCACAGAGCACUUGUUUCUACAGAUACGCACCCACUUUACUUGAGGACUGAUAAGAAAGGCAUCUCAUUGCAAUUCCAUUUUGAAUACCAGUGCUAAGAGUAAAUUAGCUCCUCAAAGUAGAUUUUUUUAGAGUUGUGGCUCAAGUCCCAUCUGUAAAUAAUAGAGGUUUGGUCUCAUCCCUUGAGCAAACUAGGUAUGAAUAUAUCUGCUUGUCCUCUCAGUUCGCAUCUUGUUCUACUCCUAUUGAGGAAGGUAGCCAGUCAAGUAGGUCUCCCUCUUGUCUUCUCCCAUCAUGCCUCAUCAUUUCUUUCAAUUGCCAGUUCACUGACAUUGCUUGUUUGAAGUUUUCUUCCCAUUGGCUGUGAGCACUGUUCCCCUGCUUGGUACUCACAGGAAUGAAGUCUGUCUCACUCAUUUAAUCCAGGGGUAAAAACACAUUUUCCCUUCUUCCAUUCUUUACCAGUCCCGUAAGAAACUCUGGCUUGGAACUUUAUUGUGUUGUCUGUUCUCCUGGGUACCAUCUGGUGAGAAUAAUCACCUGCUUGGAGAUAUCACAGCAGUAAUAGCAGAGGUUAGACGUGGAAGAGACUUGUUAGAUCAUUAAAUCCAUCCUCCUGCCAGGGUGAAGAACAUCCCUUACUGGUGAUGAAAUUCAUGUUCAUCUUCUGAUCUGAGUCAAAGGGCUCUCUUUAAAAGGAACAGGUAUUUUUGAUAAAAUCAGCAUAGCAAACUAUUACAUCUGAGAAGAGUGCACAUACAGAGAUACCUUUCUGUGUUGUCUUCUGUCCAGGGCUUGAGAGGGCAAAGGCGAUUUGUAGCUUUGCACUGCCUGGAUUCUCAAGGCUGCUAGGAGCUCGACUCUGACUUAGGCUGUCUAGGAAUGGCUUCCAAGGGAUCGUUCUACUAUGUAGUAAUCUGCGUAGGGAAGAAAGGCUCUGGCCACAGUUCUUGUUCCCUUCAUCUGAGAGCAGCAUGGGAUUUAUUUUGUUGCAGCUGCAAUCCUAGCUGCUUAAACUUAGUCCACACCUACUUCCUCUGCUACCAGAACUUCUGGGGGCAGGCAGCAGCUACCUCCACCAACCCAUAUGAGCAUGUGCAUCUCCAUGGGCUCCUAUAGCAGCUCUGUUCAGCUCUCAGCAACUGUGGACCUUAGGAAGGCACCUGCUGCUGAAGGGACUGUGCCACUUCACAGAAAGGUACACCAAAAAAUCUACAUGCACCUUCUGCCUGCUGUUGGAUGGCAGCAGAAGCCCAAGUCUGCUUGGCAGUGGUAAUUUAACUGUGCCCGCAGUUCUGCCCGCUCAGAGGAACUUCAAUUCAUAGAUGUACACCGCUGUCUGGUUCUGGAUUGCUCUCCCUUGGACCAGCGUAAAUGAGGAGUAAUUCCACUGAAGCCAACAGGGUCUUUCAGUGUAAAACUAAUCUGAGUUGAGAAUCAGGACAAGCCAAUGCAAAAGUAAUCAUUUUAAAUUUCCCUCCACUAUCAGGAAACCUGGCAUAGGCACUGACUGGUUUUUGCCAGUGGGCACUUUCUGUUGUUGUUGUUUUAAUUCCCAUGUGAGCCCCACACAUGCCCAGAAGAGGCAGUGUGGUAAGUCAGCCUGGCUCACCUGAUGUGACUUGUGGGUGUUGAGCACCCGCUAUUUUUUUUUCGGUGGGUGCUUGAGCCCUAGAGCACCCAUAGAGUCGGUGCCAAUGGAUCCGGGAGAAAACACAAUUACUAAUGCAAGUCUAAUUUAGACCAAAGCAUCAGAGUUGAGGAUAUUAUCUCCUCCCCCAGUGCUCUAGGUACCCACCAGCAUUGCUUUUUGAAGGAUUUGUGUUUUUACAGUACAUCCAACUUAUGUGGUGCUAUUGCAGUACUUCCAUCAUAAGACAGCAGUGCACCACAAAUUAUAUAUAAUACUAUUAUCAUUAUUAUUAUUAUUAUUAUUACCACCACACGUAUUUGAAAUAUCUAGUCUUAACAUGUAGUUAAAUCCUUCCAGGUUUCAGUAAUUUUAUAAUGAAGAACAUAUUACAGUAGUGAGUUAAAUAAGUGGCUCAGCAUUAGUUUAGUGAAUUUCCUCUAGAAAUCACAAAUCCCACAUUCCUUGGAAAAUUAAGGAUUGCUUUCUUUUAAUUAUGUCUGAACUGAGGAGGCAUGAAAGUCUGUGAUAUGCCCUGCUUGCCCCCGAAAGAACCCCAUUUACUCUGUAUUUUUAUUGCUGCAGUUUUCCCAAACGUUGCACAGGCGGAAUUUCUCAUCUGACAAAUGAAACAGAUAACAUUUAUUGAGCAAAACUUAGAUUGCCCGGGUGUACAUUUGCUGUUUCAUGCAGUCAAUGCCUCUCCUGUAUUUAGCAAUAUGAAUACUCUCCAGAGACCAACUCUGGGGAAAGCUCAUUUUUUUUUAGGUGGAGUAGGUGACAGAAAACAUGAUUUAGUAAUAUCAUGUAAAUACUCAGGAUUAUUUUUUAAAUAAGCAAACAUUUAAAUUUUAAUUUUGAAGGGUGCUAUGGAACAUUGCACAAGCAAGUGUCAUUUUCUUGGAUUAUUAGUUAACUAACUCUGGUAAGUCAUGACAAAACAUAAGCAAUCCCUCUUGUUUAAUAGAGCUUAGCUGCUCCUUUUUGCUAGCUAUGAAAUGUUCAGAGCAGCUUUCAGUUCAAAGCCCAGAACUGACAAAGUGGUGUUGAGCUCUGGGGAGAUUUUGAUUACCCAAGGUUUUAUUCUGACUACAUUCUUCUUUUACUUGUAUGCUCCAUAAUCCUGCCUCACACUGUAAAACAACUUAAGUCUCAUAGUUGACCAGCAGUCUAAGGAGGAGCAUCACAAGCAGAGGAAAUACUGUGGAUAAGACAGAAACCAGAGCUCUGGGUGGUAAUGGGAAGAGAGUUGUACAAGCAUCAUUUCCUUGGACUUCACAGAGAAGACCACAUCAGAAAGGCUGCAAGCAUAUUGUUCUGCUGGGAAUAGCUCAUUAGGCCACCGUUAUUUCUAAGUGCUUUCUGCAGCUUGUACUGCUUCUGCAGCUGAAUGAGCAAUAAAAUAUCUCAUGGUCUCUUUUGUACAGUAGCUUGUGGAAGAUCUGAAGCAGUGGAUGUACUGAGGGCCUGCUUCCACCUCCCUUACUCACAUGGAUGCCUUGUUAUGUGUGCUGAUGCUAAAAGGGAUUUUGCGCAUACUCAAUAGUACAAGUGGCAGAAUCAGCACCCCCCUGGUUAUAGUCACAAGAGAGACUUCUGUGCGGCAAUACCUAUCUUCAUUUCCACCGAAUGAGAUUCAUAUCCCUGAGUGGCCUUCGCUUUAGCCAACAAGAUGAGUGGAUAGCUGCUUAAAUGAGUCAGUCAGGAAGUCUGUGGAAUGGAGCAGGAUGUGCACCUCGCAUAUGGUUGAUGACUGUAUGUAAAUUUCCAGACAAUCCAUAAAAAAAACAGAGUAAAAACAUCUGUCUGUCCAUAAAAAAAUGGAGCUGUCCAUAAAAACCUGGGGAACAGUGA
This is a long non-coding RNA of Alligator mississippiensis (American alligator), 4886 nucleotides long. RefSeq lists it as uncharacterized. The transcript has 2 exons. NCBI's taxonomy places the organism in Eukaryota, Metazoa, Chordata, Crocodylia, Alligatoridae. The record is from RefSeq and is a predicted model, not a curated record.